UCUUUGCUACAGCUGAUUAUUCACAAUGAUGCUGGUUGAGGCCUUCUUGUGUUUUAUCUUAGUUUUUUUGCAGAGGAUGCUGCCAGGAUAAAAUAUGGGUAUUACAAAGGUUUCACAUAUAUCCUUAUCCGGUUAACCUAGUUUUGCUGGAAUGCUGAAACAACGGAGUUAAUUUGUUCCUGUGGAGGUAAAUGCAGAAUCUGUUCUGUUAUCAUGCUUACGCAACUCUGCUUCUUAGAUUACUUUUCUGAUGCUUUGUUUUAUUAUGGUAUUUUGGCAUAUUUUGCAUCAAACUCUGCUACAGAAAAUGCAAAAUAUUUCUGUUUAGACCGAAAAGUUCAAAUUGCAACCCGGUUUAAAGGACAGUCAAGGAUAUUGUUUGAAACAAGCAUCUCAACAGAAAAACAUAUUAAGCAUAACGCCAUUCAUAUUUUGAAACAGUAUACCAACAUUAUUUUCAUGUGAAAAUUCAAGAGAGAACACAGAUAACUGAAAUCCUCUGGCGGUUUGCAUGCCAUGAAAAUAUAAAAGGAAAUAAGAGGCCAUUUUGCGUGCAUGAACCUUUAUUUACCUGCUUAAAUAUGAAGCCAUAAUAUUACCAUUUACAAAUAUUCCAUAUAUAUGCCGGCUUCAAAGUAACAAUGAUCUUAAGGUCCAUUACGAAUAGCAGCAGCCGUGGUGGGGAAUGACACUAUGGAGGGCUUGGCACUGAAGGGAUAGUUGGUGGAAGUGGAGGCAAUCUGACAAGUGGUGGAUCAGGUAAAUUAGGAGGAACUGUUAAGCCGAGAAUAUUACACGUUGGAGGCAGGAGAUGACGAGCUGCCACAGAAAAUAACAGUGUGAUCAUGAACAUAGCCAAAAUCAGUAAACGAGAAGAUGCUAUAGUAUAAUAAUAUAAGAACAAGAAAUCAGUGACCUCUGACCUAGAACAAUCAGACAAGGAAAGCAAUAGAGGCUUAUGGGGGUGUGGAAACAGUGAUCUUUCAUUUGUUAUUUAUAGUCGAGGACAUUGAUUCAGCGUGUAAAUGCAGUGUGGUAAGCUGCUGCAUUUCGUGAGUUUUGUUGCAUGUGCUUUGCUAAAACUCAAGUACUUCAAAAGCUGAAAUCAGGCAACCAGUACAUAUUACUCCAGCUGCUGUUAAAUUUUUGUCUCACUGCCUUCAAAUGCAGCUGUAGUCAUCACAUGAGUCUACCUAAUUUGUUUGGUAGAUGCAGGUAUGUCUCAAAAUUUCGAAUAAAGUUACACAAAUAAUAGUUUCAGUCCACCGAUGUUCCAUAUUGAUUGCUAUCUGUGGUCAUGGAAAUUUGUUCCGAGGAUGUUAAUUCGAGGCAGUAAGACGUCAGUGUUUGGUUAAGAUUAGCACUGCUCUCAAUUCAGUUUUCAUGUGAAGUGGCUGCAAAUUUUGUUGUAGUCUUCAUACCUGUAGCUAAAUAGUUUGAUAGAUUCAGAUGUGUCAAAAAUUAGAUACAAAAAUGAAACUACACAACUACUCUUUCCUUUCUUCUACUAAUUUUUUUCUCACCUUUAUGUAGUUAGCUUCUGUUUGGGGCCAUUACAUUCUGUUUUAGGAACUGUAAUUAAUGAUGUGUUCAAUAUGAUAUGUCGGCGAUCUAUUAGUUUGUUCCAUGUAACCAGAUCAUUAUCUGAUUGGAACAAUUAUUCAAGUCCUUAAUGAUUUUUCCUUAUACCAAGUCCUUUAUGAUUCUCCAACAGGGAUGAUAUCAAUUAUGAUUUUCCUUUCUUAGAAAAAAAGUAUUUUUCGAGUCAAUAUUUUAGGAAUCAAUGAAGUAGGGCGUCAACGGAAGCUUAUUAAGGAAAGAGUUAGAUGUUGAAUUGUCAGUCACAGUGUUUUGCUGCUGAUUUCUUUUCCAUAUCUGUCAGAAAUGUUAAAGAGUAGGGUAUCUUUGCUACAGCUGAUUAUUCACAAUGAUGCUGGUUGAGAUCUUGUGGUUUAUCUUAGUUUUUUUUGCAGAGGAUGCUGCCAGCAUAAAAUAUGGGUAUUACGAAGGUUUCAUGUAUAUCCUUAUCCGGUUAACCUAGUUUUGCUGUAAUGCUGAAACUACGGAGACUCAGGUUAGUUUGUUCCUGUGGAGGUAAAUGCAGAAUCUGUUCUGUUAUCAUGCUUACGCAACUCUGCUUCUUAGAUUACUUUUCUGAUGCUUUGUUUUAUUAUGGUGUUUCGG
This 2184-nucleotide long non-coding RNA is filed under the name Populus trichocarpa (black cottonwood). Its description in RNAcentral is "long non-coding RNA (PTRI_LNC002030)". The record is from RNAcentral. Lineage: Eukaryota; Viridiplantae; Streptophyta; Magnoliopsida; Malpighiales; Salicaceae.